RNAcentral lists this ribosomal RNA (884 nucleotides) under uncultured bacterium. RNAcentral's name for it is "bacterial SSU rRNA". It matches the Rfam family "Bacterial small subunit ribosomal RNA", at positions 514 to 1398 of the family's 1533-position model. The record is from RNAcentral.
GCCGCGGUAAUACAGAGGGUGCAAGCGUUAUUCGGAAUUACUGGGCGUAAAGCGCGCGUAGGCGGAUGAUUAAGUCAGUUGUGAAAGCCCUGGGCUCAACCUAGGAACUGCAUCUGAUACUGGUCGUCUAGAGUUUAAGAGAGGGAAGUGGAAUUCCAGGUGUAGCAGUGAAAUGCGUAGAUAUCUGGAGGAACAUCAGUGGCGAAGGCGACUUCCUGGCUUAAAACUGACGCUGAGGUGCGAAAGCGUGGGUAGCGAACGGGAUUAGAUACCCCGGUAGUCCACGCCGUAAACGAUGUCAACUAGUUGUUGGUCUUAUUAAAAAGAUUAGUAACGAAGCUAACGCGAUAAGUUGACCGCCUGGGGAGUACGGUCGCAAGAUUAAAACUCAAAGGAAUUGACGGGGGCCCGCACAAGCGGUGGAGCAUGUGGUUUAAUUCGAUGCAACGCGAAGAACCUUACCAUCCCUUGACAUGUAGAGAAUUUUCCAGAGAUGGAUUAGUGCCUUCGGGAACUCUAACACAGGUGCUGCAUGGCUGUCGUCAGUUCGUGUCGUGAGAUGUUGGGUUAAGUCCCGCAACGAGCGCAACCCUUAUCUUUAGUUGCUACCAUUAAGUUGAGAACUCUAAAGAGACUGCCGGUGAUAAACCGGAGGAAGGUGGGGACGACGUCAAGUCAUCAUGGCCCUUAUGGGAUGGGCUACACACGUGCUACAAUGGGGGGUACAAAGAGCAGCCAACUGGCAACAGUGCGCGAAUCUCAAAAAGCCUCUCGUAGUCCGGAUCGGAGUCUGCAACUCGACUCCGUGAAGUCGGAAUCGCUAGUAAUCGCGGAUCAGAAUGCCGCGGUGAAUACGUUCCCGGGCCUUGCACACACUGCCCGUC